RNAcentral lists this ribosomal RNA (547 nucleotides) under uncultured Glomeromycotina. Its description in RNAcentral is "SSU rRNA". It matches the Rfam family "Eukaryotic small subunit ribosomal RNA", at positions 548 to 1098 of the family's 1831-position model. Lineage: Eukaryota; Fungi; Glomeromycota. The record is from RNAcentral.
UUGGAGGGCAGUCUGGUGCAGCAGCCGCGGUAUUCCAGCUCCAUAGCGUAUAUUAAAGUUGUUGCAGUUAAAAAGCUCGUAGUUGAAUUUCGGAAUUUUUUUAUCGGUUGAACCAACAGGUUCGUACUGAUUUUAAGAAUUUCUACCUUCUGGAGAACCUUAAUGUCAUUUAUUUGAUGUUUUGGGAAACCAGGACUGUUACCUUGAAAAAAUUAGAGUAUUUAAAGCAGGCUUAUGUCUGAAUAUAUUAGCAUGGAAUAAUGAAAUAGGACGGCAUGGUUCUAUUUUGUUGGUUUCUAGGAUCACCGUAAUGAUUAAUAGGGAUAGUUGGGGGCAUUAGUAUUCAAUUGUCAGAGGUGAAAUUCUUGGAUUUAUUGAAGACUAACUUCUGCGAAAGCAUUUGCCAAGGAUGUUUUCAUUAAUCAAGAACGAAAGUUAGGGGAUCGAAGACGAUCAGAUACCGUCGUAGUCUUAACCAUAAACUAUGCCGACUAGGAAUCGGACGAAGUUAAUUUUUUAAUGACUCGUUCGGCGCCUUACGGGAAAC